UGCAGUUGCUGCCUCAAGCUU
Molecule: microRNA, 21 nt
Filed under: Hordeum vulgare
Lineage: Eukaryota; Viridiplantae; Streptophyta; Magnoliopsida; Poales; Poaceae
Also listed under: 4 other names
Description: microRNA444.1a2
Source: RNAcentral